GGAGAAAAAGAAGAGGGAAAAGUGAAAAAAUGAAAUAGCCUGGAGACAGAUAUUUCAUCAUUUUUGCCCAAUAUAUUUAUGUUUGUAUUUUUUGCUUGU
This 99-nucleotide non-coding RNA is filed under the name Heterosigma akashiwo. Lineage: Eukaryota; Raphidophyceae; Chattonellales; Chattonellaceae. The record is from RNAcentral.